CUUCUCUGAGCUGACUGCCUUC
Molecule: non-coding RNA, 22 nt
Filed under: Rattus norvegicus (Norway rat)
Lineage: Eukaryota; Metazoa; Chordata; Mammalia; Rodentia; Muridae
Source: RNAcentral